CACCGUAUUGAUACGGUAUCCUUGUCUGAAUACAUAGGGCAAGCGAAGCGAACCCGGAGAACUGAACCAUCUAAGUACCCGGAGGAAAAGAAAUCAACCGAGAUUCCGUAAGUAGUGGCGAGCGAACGCGGAGGAGCCUGUAUAUGAUAGCUGUUGAGAUAGAAGAACAAGCUGGGAAGCUUGGCCAUAGUGGGUGAUAGCCCCGUAUUCGAAAUUUCAACGGUGGUACUAGGUAUACGACAAGUAGGGCGGGACACGUGGAAUCCUGUCUGAAUAUGGGGGGACCAUCCUCCAAGGCUAAAUACUCAUCAUCGACCGAUAGUGAACCAGUACCGUGAGGGAAAGGCGAAAAGAACCCCGGGAGGGGAGUGAAAUAGAACCUGAAACCUGAUGCAUACAAACAGUGGGAGCCUAUUAAUUGGGUGACUGCGUACCUUUUGUAUAAUGGGUCAACGACUUACAUUCAGUAGCGAGCUUAACCGGAUAGGGGAGGCGUAGGGAAACCGAGUCUUAAUAGGGCGAAUAGUUGCUGGGUGUAGACCCGAAACCGAGUGAUCUAUCCAUGGCCAGGAUGAAGGUGCCGUAACAGGUACUGGAGGUCCGAACCCACGCAUGUUGCAAAAUGCGGGGAUGAGCUGUGGAUAGGGGUGAAAGGCUAAACAAACUCGGAGAUAGCUGGUUCUCCCCGAAAACUAUUUAGGUAGUGCCUCAUGUAUCACUUCCGGGGGUAAAGCACUGUUAUGGCUAGGGGGUCAUUGCGACUUACCAACCCAUGGCAAACUAAGAAUACCGGAAAGUGCAAUCAUGGGAGACAGACAGCGGGUGCUAACGUCCGUUGUCAAAAGGGAAACAACCCAGACCGCCAGCUAAGGUCCCAAAUGACAGAUUAAGUGGUAAACGAAGUGGGAAGGCCCAGACAGCCAGGAUGUUGGCUUAGAAGCAGCCAUCAUUUAAAGAAAGCGUAAUAGCUCACUGGUCGAGUCGUCCUGCGCGGAAGAUGUAACGGGGCUCAAAUCUGUAACCGAAGCUGCGGAUGCACGUAGUGCAUGGUAGGGGAGCGUUCUGUAGGCCGAAGAAGGUGACUUGAGAAGGUUGCUGGAGGUAUCAGAAGUGCGAAUGUUGACAUGAGUAGCGAUAAAGCGGGUGAAAAGCCCGCUCGCCGAAAGCCCAAGGUUUCCUACGCAACGUUCAUCGGCGUAGGGUGAGUCGGCCCCUAAGGCGAGGCAGAAAUGCGUAGUCGAUGGGAAACGGGUUAAUAUUCCCGUACUUGAUUCAAAUGCGAUGUGGGGACGGAGAAGGUUAGGUUGGCAAGCUGUUGGAAUAGCUUGUUUAAGCCGGUAGGUGGAAGACUUAGGCAAAUCCGGGUCUUCAUAACACCGAGAAGUGAUGACGAUUGUCUACGGACAAGAAGUAACCGAUACCACGCUUCCAGGAAAAGCCACUAAGCUUCAGUUUGAAUCGAACCGUACCGCAAACCGACACAGGUGGGCAGGAUGAGAAUUCUAAGGCGCUUGAGAGAACUCGGGAGAAGGAACUCGGCAAAUUGAUACCGUAACUUCGGGAGAAGGUAUGCCCUCUGAGGUGAAGCACUUGCUGCGUAAGCUUUGGAGGGUCGCAGAGAAUCGGUGGCUGCGACUGUUUAUUAAAAACACAGCACUCUGCAAACACGAAAGUGGACGUAUAGGGUGUGACGCCUGCCCGGUGCUGGAAGGUUAAUUGAAGAUGUGAGAGCAUCGGAUCGAAGCCCCAGUAAACGGCGGCCGUAACUAUAACGGUCCUAAGGUAGCGAAAUUCCUUGUCGGGUAAGUUCCGACCCGCACGAAUGGCGUAACGAUGGCCACACUGUCUCCUCCCGAGACUCAGCGAAGUUGAAAUGGUUGUGAAGAUGCAAUCUCCCCGCUGCUAGACGGAAAGACCCCGUGAACCUUUACUGUAGCUUUGCAUUGGACUUUGAAGGCACUUGUGUAGGAUAGGUGGGAGGCUUAGAAGCAGAGACGCCAGUUUCUGUGGAGCCGUCCUUGAAAUACCACCCUGGUGUCUUUGAGGUUCUAACCCAGGUCCGUAAUCCGGAUCGGGGACCGUGCAUGGUAGGC
This 2093-nucleotide ribosomal RNA is filed under the name Neisseria wadsworthii. RNAcentral describes it as "bacterial LSU rRNA". It matches the Rfam family "Bacterial large subunit ribosomal RNA", at positions 129 to 2266 of the family's 2925-position model. The record is from RNAcentral. Lineage: Bacteria; Pseudomonadati; Pseudomonadota; Betaproteobacteria; Neisseriales; Neisseriaceae.